CCCUUGUUAGUAUAGUGGUCAGUAUCCCUGCCUGUCACGCAGGAGUCCUGGGUUCAAUUCCGACGGGGAG
This 70-nucleotide transfer RNA is filed under the name Alosa alosa (allis shad). RNAcentral describes it as "tRNA-Asp". It matches the Rfam family "tRNA". From Rfam's summary of the family: Transfer RNA (tRNA) molecules are approximately 80 nucleotides in length. Lineage: Eukaryota; Metazoa; Chordata; Actinopteri; Clupeiformes; Clupeidae. The record is from RNAcentral.